UGAUGUGGGGACGAUCUAGCUAAGACAUCUGUCAUCAUAUUGAUCACCAAGGUUUGAUUGGGUUUAUCUGGCUUGCUCUCUGGGUGUUUCCUUCCUCCCUCACAGCUCCAAGUGUGUACCUCUUGAAUGAUACUGGGUUGAAGAAAUCGACCUUCUGUUAUAGAAGAGGACCAAUUCCGGGUCAAGGAUAGACAAGUAGCUAUUGUGCUCAUUUGAAGGUGGGUAUAAAGUGGUCAGGUGUCCAAAACUCUUAACAUGCCUGUAGUGGAUGAAAAUGGCCCCCAUAGAC
Rattus norvegicus (Norway rat) is the source of this 289-nucleotide non-coding RNA. The record is from Rfam. Lineage: Eukaryota; Metazoa; Chordata; Mammalia; Rodentia; Muridae.